GUGAGCUGAGACUGUGCCACUGCACUCCAGCCUGGGCGACAGAGUGAGACUCUGUCAUAGAAAAAGAAAAAAAAACCUCCCAGACUGAAGAGAAGCAGCCCCGGGGCAUGCACCCUCAGCUUCCCCCUCCAAACUGGCUUCAUAUCUAACCCUCAUGGGAGGGAAUUUCUGGUCCCAAACAGCAUGACAGCACUUUGAACAUUCCAGUAUCUGUUUAUAAGGUAGUGUCCGCAGGGAUUUGUAAGGUGUCGCGCUGACUUCAGCGGCCUCCCCUAGCCAGCAGCACGAAGGGGUGAAAGGGUCCCAGGAGCCCCACCCCACCUACCGCCACCUCAUCCAGAGUCUGAGAGCUGCAGCCGGCACAGACCAGGCGCCCCUGGACUGAGGGUGCACAGAUUGACCUCUGGGGAAGUUUUCAUCCUGCAGAAAGGGGAGAAGAGAUAACUUGGCAAAUGAUUCUAAGAGGGAACCUGAGCAAAACUCUGGGCCUGUUUCCUCAUCUGUACUCACUCAAACGAAGGUUGCAAAGGCAUCAUUCAUUCACAAAAACCACUUAGUUAACCAUCUGCUAGACUUGGUCCCUGCUCUCAUGGAGGCCAUAGGCUACAAGAGGAGACUAACUCAGAAACAACGGUUUAAUUCUACAAAGGUAAAAUUGCACUUGUGAUAAGCAUUAAGAAAAAAAUAUAUAUUUAUUUUAUUUAUU
Molecule: long non-coding RNA, 706 nt
Organism: Chlorocebus sabaeus (green monkey)
Lineage: Eukaryota; Metazoa; Chordata; Mammalia; Primates; Cercopithecidae
Source: RefSeq, a predicted model, not a curated record